GGAAUAUUGGACAAUGGGCGCAAGCCUGAUCCAGCCAUGCCGCGUGUGUGAAGAAGGCCUUCGGGUUGUAAAGCACUUUUGCCCGGAAAGAAAUCCUUCGAAUUAAUACUUCGGAGGGAUGACGGUACCUGAAGAAUAAGCACCGGCUAACUACGUGCCAGCAGCCGCGGUAAUACGUAGGGUGCGAGCGUUAAUCGGAAUUACUGGGCGUAAAGCGUGCGCAGGCGGUUAUGCAAGACAGAUGUGAAAUCCCCGGGCUCAACCUGGGAACUGCAUUUGUGACUGCAUAGCUAGAGUGCGGCAGAGGGGGAUGGAAUUCCGCGUGUAGCAGUGAAAUGCGUAGAUAUGCGGAGGAACACCGAUGGCGAAGGCAAUCCCCUGGGCCUGCACUGACGCUCAUGCACGAAAGCGUGGGGAGCAAAC
RNAcentral lists this ribosomal RNA (423 nucleotides) under uncultured bacterium. RNAcentral's name for it is "bacterial SSU rRNA". It matches the Rfam family "Bacterial small subunit ribosomal RNA", at positions 358 to 773 of the family's 1533-position model. The record is from RNAcentral.